ACAAGGUGACUUAAUUAUGACAAGUGAAUGGUUUCACUACAUACAUUUUACUGCAUUUCAUUGUUUAAUGAUAAGGAUUUAUUCUUGCUUUCAAAAUUUCAGAUCCGAAUAGUUGUCCAACAAAAAACUGUUCAGGGCAGCAAAAUAUUCUCAAGGAAUGCCGACAGCCUACCUUUAUGAUUGGAGGUGACGGGAUAACAAAAUGUCGAAUGUGUGACGUGAAUGCUUGUGGAGACCCGAAGAGAGUAUGUCCGAAGAUCAAAUGUCCUUCUAAACCGCGUAUACCGACACAUUGCGUUGUGAAGCAAUUUACAAUCGGUAGCGACGGCAUAACAUUAUGUCCUGCAUGUGACAAGAAAAACUGCCGACAACGUCAGAAAAAAAAUCAAAAUUAUUAAUAGUGUACCCAACUGUUCGAUGACAUGAAUAAAGACAGUCAUAUUAAUAUUUAGUUUUGUAUACAGAAGUAAACUAUGUUAUAGAUGUACAGUAUGCCAUUCUUAGAUAACUUAAAUUUAAGAAUAAAUGCGUUUGAUUUAA
This is a long non-coding RNA of Ruditapes philippinarum (Manila clam), 540 nucleotides long. RefSeq lists it as uncharacterized. The transcript is spliced from 2 exons. The record is from RefSeq and is a predicted model, not a curated record. Lineage: Eukaryota; Metazoa; Mollusca; Bivalvia; Venerida; Veneridae.